Molecule: ribosomal RNA, 216 nt
Filed under: uncultured Glomus
Lineage: Eukaryota; Fungi; Glomeromycota; Glomeromycetes; Glomerales; Glomeraceae
Description: partial 18S rRNA
Rfam family: Eukaryotic small subunit ribosomal RNA (bases 39-216)
Source: RNAcentral
GGAUUAGUACGUGUGGUCGUGCCUUAGGUACGUACUGGUGUUACUGGUUCCUACCUUCUGACGAACCAUCAUGUCAUUAAUUUGGUGUGGCGGGGAAUCAGGACUGUUACUUUGAAAAAAUUAGAGUGUUUAAAGCAGGCUCGCGCUUGAAUACAUUAGCAUGGAAUAAUGAAAUAGGACGUUGACCCUAUUUUGUUGGUUUCUAGGAUUGACGUA